This 492-nucleotide ribosomal RNA is filed under the name uncultured bacterium. RNAcentral describes it as "partial 16S ribosomal RNA". It matches the Rfam family "Bacterial small subunit ribosomal RNA", at positions 29 to 508 of the family's 1533-position model. The record is from RNAcentral.
AGUGAACGCUGGCGGUAGGCCUAACACAUGCAAGUCGAACGGCAGCACAGUAAGAGCUUGCUCUUACGGGUGGCGAGUGGCGGACGGGUGAGGAAUACAUCGGAAUCUACUUUUUCGUGGGGGAUAACGUAGGGAAACUUACGCUAAUACCGCAUACGACCUACGGGUGAAAGCAGGGGAUCUUCGGACCUUGCGCGAUUGAAUGAGCCGAUGUCGGAUUAGCUAGUUGGCGGGGUAAAGGCCCACCAAGGCGACGAUCCGUAGCUGGUCUGAGAGGAUGAUCAGCCACACUGGAACUGAGACACGGUCCAGACUCCUACGGGAGGCAGCAGUGGGGAAUAUUGGACAAAGGGCGCAAGCCUGAUCCAGCCAUACCGCGUGGGUGAAGAAGGCCUUCGGGUUGUAAAGCCCUUUUGUUGGGAAAGAAAAGCAGCAGGUUAAUACCCCGCUGUUCUGACGGUACCAAAGAAUAAGCACCGGCUAACUUCGUGC